RNAcentral lists this ribosomal RNA (433 nucleotides) under uncultured bacterium. RNAcentral's name for it is "bacterial SSU rRNA". It matches the Rfam family "Bacterial small subunit ribosomal RNA", at positions 355 to 796 of the family's 1533-position model. The record is from RNAcentral.
UCGAGGAUCUUCGGCAAUGGGCGCAAGCCUGACCGAGCGACGCCGCGUGUGCGAUGAAGGCCUUCGGGUUGUAAAGCACUGUCGGGAGGGAGAAAGCCCGCAAGGGUUGAUCGACCUCCGGAGGAAGCACGGGCUAAGUUCGUGCCAGCAGCCGCGGUAAGACGAACCGUGCGAACGUUGUUCGGAAUCACUGGGCUUAAAGGGCGCGUAGGCGGGCCGGCAAGUCAGGGGUGAAAGCCCGCGGCUCAACCGCGGAAGUGCCUUUGAUACUGCCGGCCUCGAGGGAGGUAGGGGCGUGCGGAACUUCCGGUGGAGCGGUGAAAUGCGUAGAUAUCGGAAGGAACACCGGUGGCGAAAGCGGCGCGCUGGACCUCUUCUGACGCUGAGGCGCGAAAGCCAGGGGAGCAAACGGGAUUAGAUACCCCCGUAGUCC